Molecule: ribosomal RNA, 253 nt
Filed under: uncultured bacterium
Lineage: Bacteria
Description: partial 16S ribosomal RNA
Rfam family: Bacterial small subunit ribosomal RNA
Source: RNAcentral
UACGUAGGUGGCUAGCGUUGUCCGGAUUUACUGGGCGUAAAGAGCGCGCAGGCGGUCGUUCAAGUCGAGUGUGAAAGCCCCCGGCUCAACUGGGGAGGGUCACUCGAUACUGAUCGACUUGAAGGCGGGAGAGGGAAGCGGAAUUCCCGGUGUAGUGGUGAAAUGCGUAGAUAUCGGGAGGAACACCAGUGGCGAAGGCGAAUCCCUGGAAAAUACCUGACACUGAGGCACGAAAGCUAGGGGAGCAAACAGG